UGGGGCGUGGCCAAGUGGUUAAGGCAGCGGGUUUUGAUCCCGCCAUCGCAGGUUCGAAUCCUGCCGCCCCAGCCA
Molecule: transfer RNA, 75 nt
Filed under: Rhodospirillaceae bacterium
Lineage: Bacteria; Pseudomonadati; Pseudomonadota; Alphaproteobacteria; Rhodospirillales; Rhodospirillaceae
Description: tRNA-Gln
Rfam family: tRNA
About the family: Transfer RNA (tRNA) molecules are approximately 80 nucleotides in length. Their secondary structure includes four short double-helical elements and three loops (D, anti-codon, and T loops).
Source: RNAcentral